Molecule: long non-coding RNA, 426 nt
Filed under: Androctonus crassicauda
Lineage: Eukaryota; Metazoa; Arthropoda; Arachnida; Scorpiones; Buthidae
Source: RNAcentral
CACCGUGGUUUGAUGGCCAUGCCAUUUGAAAUAUAUGUUUAUUGCUUUUUAUUUUUGUUUUGCCUGUUUUGUUUAUUUGUUGAUUGUGGAGUUGCUAUGGUGGCCUUUUGACUUUGAUUUUGGAUUUGUACCGAUGGUGUUCUAUGUUUGUUUAUGUAUUCUUUUGUUUGUGUGUGAGCCUGAUGAUGGCAACAAAGAAUUGCUGAAAACAUUUGUUUUUUGUUUAAUAAAUUGUGGACAUUCUUACUGCUAGAGGUGCUUGUGUGUUAUUAUAUGACCUAAUGCACAUCUUAUUAGCAAUAUGUGAUCAGUACUGGAAUUCAGAGAGAAGUUUAAAUUUGCAUAAAAUCUUCUGAUAAUGCGUAUCUUGUAUAACACGAUUUUCUAUAAUGCAGAGCAUAUCCCCAUGUUGAACAAGAGUCCACU